AUAAAUCAUGAUUUUAAUCAAAAAUCUACUUCUACUUCUAUAUAUUAAAAGAGGACUAAGGAUAAAAAGAGCAAGAAAAAUGCCUGUGAAAUUACAUAUAUACCCUCGAUUUUUACACAAUUUCUGCAUUGCCAUUGGCUGUUUGUUUUCUUUUGAUCUCUAAAACAGUUUUGAUUUGCCUACUGUUCUCUCCUUGCCUGUGAUUUAUCAUUCAUGUCUUGUGCUUGGUUGCCUCCGCUCGCUUGGGUUUUCCUCCUGGUUUGGGUUUUAGGAUAAACGAAUCCAAUUUUUGUGUGUAUAUCAAUUUGGUUUAUGCGGUACACCUUCUUCACAGGUAUGGUUUCUCAGAUUUUGAUUCGUUGCCUACAUGUAUGUUAAUGGAGAUGAACCAACAUCAAAUGUUUUGAUCGGGUUCUACUGUCAUAGGACAAAAGUUAACAUCACUUAUGCAAUUGGUCUUGUUAUUGUAUAUUGGAAUUCAUUGAGAACAACGCUUGGUUACUGAAUUUCUACUUUGACGUGCUUUUUCUUUUUGUGCUGAAAGUUGUAAACAGAUUAAACGAUGGACUUGUACAUUGGUUGGAACGUCCUCAUCCACGGAAGUACAUGGUUUCAAACUUUGCCAAAAUUUCCUCCAUUUUUUUAGUCUCUAUUCCCUAUCAAAUGCUAACCCUCCCGAUUUAUUUAGAUUGUGAGUAGGCAUAUACACCUGUACUCAGCCUUCGAUGGAAUCAGCGGUGCAACCUUUUGGUGGUGUUUUUGAUACUUGUCUCCUUCUACUUCGGUGAUUAUAGUUUAAACAUUCUUCAGAGGUCUCUAGCAUUGUUGUGUUAGUAAAGGGAAUGUAAGAACUACGGUUGUGGCAAAGGAUUAUAUUAAAACGGCAAAGAAGUUUGACAUGUCAAGGAAUUAACUUAUAUAUCAAGGAACCUGAGGUUCCUGCAUUAUAAAUUAGGCCUUCUGCAGUUUCAGUCUUCCAGUUGCAGAAGAGAAUCACGUGGAUCAUUAAAGAUCAGCCUCAUUUCUAUGCCUUCAAGAGUUAAACAUAACUCUUUGAGUUACUUCCGCUUUCAUGGACUACCCAUACGCUCUAACAAGAAGUGCAAGAUUUUUGACGACACAUCAAGUCUCUACAAAUUGGUUAAUGUCGCACACUACUUGCAGUGUAUAAAAAAACAUGUUCUGCUAUUGCGUGAAAGAUUGAGGAUGAAUCUCCUGAGGAGAUAUGCCGUUUAUUUAAUUUUCCUGAUCUUUUGACAAAGGUUUUAUUCUAGCCAAUAUGCAUCUCUAUAAUCAUUUAGGUUUACUAAGUUAAUUGGUACAGGUUGAAAAGUUGGAGACUUGGAACAACGCACCUGAUGUGAUGAUGUUUUAGUAUAGAGAAAGAUUAGCUUUAAACAUUUUUGUAUCAGCAGUAUACUCAUACUACGUGUAGACCACAAAAA
This is a long non-coding RNA of Daucus carota subsp. sativus, 1445 nucleotides long. RefSeq lists it as uncharacterized. The transcript has 5 exons. The record is from RefSeq and is a predicted model, not a curated record. NCBI's taxonomy places the organism in Eukaryota, Viridiplantae, Streptophyta, Magnoliopsida, Apiales, Apiaceae.